RNAcentral lists this ribosomal RNA (440 nucleotides) under uncultured bacterium. RNAcentral's name for it is "bacterial SSU rRNA". It matches the Rfam family "Bacterial small subunit ribosomal RNA", at positions 340 to 774 of the family's 1533-position model. The record is from RNAcentral.
UACGGAAGGCAGCAGUGGGGAAUAUUGCACAAUGGGCGCAAGCCUGAUGCAGCCAUGCCGCGUGUAUGAAGAAGGCCUUCGGGUUGUAAAGUACUUUCAGCGGGGAGGAAGGCGAUGUGGUUAAUAACCGCAUCGAUUGACGUUACCCGCAGAAGAAGCACCGGCUAACUCCGUGCCAGCAGCCGCGGUAAUACGGAGGGUGCAAGCGUUAAUCGGAAUUACUGGGCGUAAAGCGCACGCAGGCGGUCUGUCAAGUCGGAUGUGAAAUCCCCGGGCUUAACCUGGGAACUGCAUUCGAAACUGGCAGGCUAGAGUCUUGUAGAGGGGGUAGAAUUCCAGGUGUAGCGGUGAAAUGCGUAGAGAUCUGGAGGAAUACCGGUGGCGAAGGCGGCCCCUGGACAAAGCUGACGCUCAGGGUGCGAAAGCGUGGGGAGCAAACG